Long non-coding RNA from Panicum virgatum (switchgrass), 759 nucleotides. RefSeq lists it as uncharacterized. Lineage: Eukaryota; Viridiplantae; Streptophyta; Magnoliopsida; Poales; Poaceae. The record is from RefSeq and is a predicted model, not a curated record. The transcript has 2 exons.
AUCUCUCUGCCCCUCAUUUCUCUACCCCUCAUUUCUCUACCUCUCUCAUCUCUCUCUACCUUAUCCUCGGCGUGGGGACGCAGCGCCCGCUCCAGCGGCGAAGGCGGCGGCGCGGACACGGACGCGGAUGCGGGGGCUCAGCCUGGGAAGCUGCUGCUCCCUGGGAAGCUGCUGCCGCCGCCGCGCGCCGCGCAAGGCCUCAAGCCGAUCAAGCAGGCUCCGACGCCGCAGCGCAGGGGCGUCAGCCUGGGGCCCUUGGAGAUCCACCACGGCGUCUGCAUCAAGCCUGGGGCCGCGGCGACGGCGCGGGUCAAGCCGUCCCAGCGAAACCGUGGCCAUCCAACAACGGGGCCGCACCAAGCAGAGCCAAGGCGAGGAGCGAGAGCAUGAGCCCGGCGAGGGAAGACAGCCGAGCGAGCAGGAGCACACGUGGCCCGAGGCAAAGCACGCGCGGUGCGUCGGCCAGCAGCUCGCGCGGUAGUGCACGGGACGCCGGCCAACUUCCGCAAGCUGCUGGCCGGGCAGCUCAAGAAGCUUGCGGCCACGAGGAAGCUAACCCGCGUGAAGAACUCAUUCAAGCUGACCGCCGCCCCGGACGGGAGCUAGCCGUGGGUGAUUUUUUCUCUUUUUUUUUCUUAUUUUUCAGUAAUAGAUAUGCAUGUGAGAUUGUAUGGAUUAGAUCUAUCUUGUAAACAAUUCUUUGGAUGAUUUGUGGAAUCUAUGAGUAUUUUGUCGAUCGAUUUAAUAUCUUGUGAACAA